This 492-nucleotide ribosomal RNA is filed under the name uncultured bacterium. RNAcentral's name for it is "partial 16S ribosomal RNA". It matches the Rfam family "Bacterial small subunit ribosomal RNA", at positions 29 to 507 of the family's 1533-position model. The record is from RNAcentral.
AGUGAACGCUGGCGGUAGGCCUAACACAUGCAAGUCGAACGGCAGCACAGUAAGCGCUUGCUCUUACGGGUGGCGAGUGGCGGACGGGUGAGGAAUACAUCGGCAUCUACUUUUUCGUGGGGGAUAACGUAGGGAAACUUACGCUAAUACCGCAUACGACCUACGGGUGAAAGCAGGGGAUCUUCGCACCUUGCGCGAUUGAAUGAGCCGAUGUCGGAUUAGCUAGUUGGCGGGGUAAAGGCCCACCAAGGCGACGAUCCGUAGCUGGUCUGAGAGGAUGAUCAGCCACACUGGAACUGAGACACGGUCCAGACUCCUACGGGAGGCAGCAGUGGGGAAUAUUGGACAAUGGGCGCAAGCCUGAUCCAGCCAUGCCGCGUGGGUGAAGAAGGCCUUCGGGUUGUAAAGCCCUUUUGUUGGGAAAGAAAAUCAGCAGGUUAAUACCCCGCUGUUCUGACGGUACCCAAAGAGUAAGCACCGGCUAACUUCGUG